CCUGGCGGCCGUAGCGCGGUGGUCCCACCUGACCCCAUGCCGAACUCAGAAGUGAAACGCCGUAGCGCCGAUGGUAGUG
RNAcentral lists this ribosomal RNA (79 nucleotides) under Escherichia coli. Lineage: Bacteria; Pseudomonadati; Pseudomonadota; Gammaproteobacteria; Enterobacterales; Enterobacteriaceae. The record is from RNAcentral. RNAcentral also lists the same sequence under 6 other names.